RNAcentral lists this ribosomal RNA (425 nucleotides) under uncultured bacterium. Its description in RNAcentral is "partial 16S ribosomal RNA". It matches the Rfam family "Bacterial small subunit ribosomal RNA", at positions 354 to 796 of the family's 1533-position model. The record is from RNAcentral.
GUGGGGAAUAUUGGGCAAUGGGCGAAAGCCUGACCCAGCAACGCCGCGUGAAGGAAGAAGGUCUUCGGAUCGUAAACUUCUAUCCUUGGUGAAGAUAAUGACGGUAGCCGAGAAGGAAGCCCCGGCUAACUACGUGCCAGCAGCCGCGGUAAUACGUAGGGGGCAAGCGUUGUCCGGAAUGAUUGGGCGUAAAGGGCGCGUAGGCGGCCUGGUAAGUCUGGAGUGAAAAUCCUGCUUUUAAGGUGGGAAUUGCUUUGGAUACUGUCGGGCUUGAGUGCAGGAGAGGUAAGUGGAAUUCCCGGUGUAGCGGUGAAAUGCGUAGAGAUCGGGAGGAACACCAGUGGCGAAGGCGACUUACUGGACUGUAACUGACGCUGCGGCGCGAAAGUGUGGGGAGCAAACAGGAUUAGAUACCCUAGUAGUCC